UCGGAGAGUAUUCUAACAAAACCGGAAUAAUCUCUUGCCGUAGAUGAACAAACCCCAAAACCUCUCAAAUAUGCUAUUAAUUAAAAAUUAGGAUAAUACGUUGGAUAUGAGAGUUCCAUACUAUACUAUAGUACUGCUCAACCAAACUUAUCAGAUCAAGUGGUUAAAACACGUUAUGCUUUGAACAUUUUGAUGUUGAAUACUGCUUGUAUUUUGCAUCUCCAGUACAUCUGGUGACGU
RNAcentral lists this long non-coding RNA (240 nucleotides) under Fragaria vesca (wild strawberry). Its description in RNAcentral is "long non-coding RNA (FVES_LNC001879)". Lineage: Eukaryota; Viridiplantae; Streptophyta; Magnoliopsida; Rosales; Rosaceae. The record is from RNAcentral.